Molecule: non-coding RNA, 225 nt
Organism: Pelobates cultripes (western spadefoot toad)
Lineage: Eukaryota; Metazoa; Chordata; Amphibia; Anura; Pelobatidae
Source: the annotation of a GenBank genome assembly
GUGCAGCCAUUGCACAAAACAAGUACAUUCAACAUAUCCCCAGAUAGCUCAGAUCUGAGCGCACAUUCUUACUGAAUGGCGCUCAGAGAACACACAUACAGUUUGUGGCAAACCCUGCCACUUGGACUAAUUAUUCUGUGCGAAUGGAUGGUAAACCAAGUGAAUAACUGCACGAACAGACUUUAAUGUUAUUUUGCUGUCUUUUAUGUGAAUGCCCGAAACUAC